RNAcentral lists this long non-coding RNA (633 nucleotides) under Pongo abelii (Sumatran orangutan). RNAcentral describes it as "lincRNA". Lineage: Eukaryota; Metazoa; Chordata; Mammalia; Primates; Hominidae. The record is from RNAcentral.
AAGGGUAAAGAGAUGAUAAGAGAAGAUGCAUCCUGAACAACUUUUAUUUUGGCUUGAAGCAUUUGCUGUUAUGCUGUGUGGAGGGAAGGGGAACCUGCUAGUUAGGAACAUGUGGCAUACAUGUACUAGAAGUUACCAUAGAGACUGCAUACACUAAGAGUGCAGCAUUGUGAUUGGUGGGAAAGAUACAUUUUGCAGAAGCUUUUCUGGAGAGAUAAAGGUAAGACACAAGAAAGAAAGUGAGACUGCCAAUAAAGGGGCAGAGCACAGAGAAGUCCCAAACAACCAUACAUUCUAGAAAACUGGGACAGCAGAGAUUAUAACUACUACUAUAAAACUACAUAAACUGUUCACUCAAUGGCUGCCUGUCAGGAAAAUUUCAAGUAUAGUCAGACAGAACAGACACAAGAUAUUCUAGAAUAAAAAGGUAAACAAGUAAACCUACUGAGGUUAUAGGGGCGACAAAAGGGAAAUGGCAAGAAAACAUUUAAAAAUGAUUCAACGCUAGAAAAAAAAAGAAUCUCAGAGAGCAAUAAAAUUUAAAGUUACAUUUCUGUAGGAUGGCUGACUUACAGAGAGGCUGACCUUUGGGGAAUUAUUUAAAUUCUGAGUACCUCUGCUUCCUUCCCUAUG